RNAcentral lists this non-coding RNA (927 nucleotides) under Lasiancistrus planiceps. RNAcentral describes it as "partial 12S ribosomal RNA". It matches the Rfam family "Bacterial small subunit ribosomal RNA". Lineage: Eukaryota; Metazoa; Chordata; Actinopteri; Siluriformes; Loricariidae. The record is from RNAcentral.
UUUUAACCCAAUUUAUACAUGCAAGUAUCCGCGCCCCCGUGAGAAUGCCCUCAAUCCCCCGCCCGGGGACAAGGAGCUGGCAUCAGGCACACCCCAUUAGCCCAAGACGCCUUGCUUAGCCACACCCUCAAGGGCCUUCAGCAGUAAUAAACAUUAAGCCAUAAGUGAAAACUUGACUUAAUUAGGGCUAAGAGGGUCGGUAAAAUUCGUGCCAGCCACCGCGGUUAUACGAAAGACCCUAAUUUAUAGACACGGCGUAAAGGGUGGUUAGGGGACAAGUAAAAUAAAGCCAAAGACCUCCUAAGCCGUCAUACGCUCACGAAUGCACGAAGUCCAAACACGAAAGUAGCUUUACUAAACAUGCCCGACUCCACGAAAGCUAGGAAACAAACUGGGAUUAGAUACCCCACUAUGCCUAGCCCUAAACCUAGAUAAUGUUUUACAAAAUUAUCCGCCAGGGGACUACAAGCACAGCUUAAAACCCAAAGGACUUGGCGGUGCCUCAGACCCACCUAGAGGAGCCUGUUCUAGAACCGAUAACCCCCGUUAAACCUCACCACCUCUUGGUUUUCCCCGCCCUAUAUACCGGCCGGUCGUCAGCUUUACCCUGGUGGAAGGUUCAACAGUAAGCAAAAUGGGCUAAGCCCAAAACGUCAGGGUCGAGGUGUAGCGCACGAGGUGGGAAGAAAUGGGCUACAUUUUCUACCACAGAACAUAACGAAUAGCGCCCUGAAACAUGGCACCUGAAGGAGGAUUUAGUAGUAAAAAGCAAAUAGAGUGUCCUUUUGAAUCAGGCUCUGAGGCGCGCACACACCGCCCGUCACCCUCCCCUUUCACCUAUUACCAAUAUACCUAAUCUUAUAUCCAGAACUAUGGGGAGGCAAGUCGUAACAUGGUAAGUGUACCGGAAGGUGCACUUGGAAUAAC